GAUGAACGCUAGCUCCAGGCUUAACACAUGCAAGUCGAGGGGAAACGACAUCGAAAGCUUGCUUUUGAUGGGCGUCGACCGGCGCACGGGUGAGUAACGCGUAUCCAACCUGCCCAUCACUUGGGAAUAACCUUGCGAAAGUAAGACUAAUACCCAAUGACAUCCCACGAAGACAUCUGAAUGGGAUUAAAGAUUUAUCGGUGAUGGAUGGGGAUGCGUCUGAUUAGCUUGUUGGCGGGGUAACGGCCCACCAAGGCAACGAUCAGUAGGGGUUCUGAGAGGAAGGUCCCCCACAUUGGAACUGAGACACGGUCCAAACUCCUACGGGAGGCAGCAGUGAGGAAUAUUGGUCAAUGGGCGAGAGCCUGAACCAGCCAAGUAGCGUGCAGGAUGACGGCCCUAUGGGUUGUAAACUGCUUUUAUAAGGGAAUAAAGUGGGUCUCGUGAGACUUUUUGCAUGUACCUGAUGAAUAAGGACCGGCUAAUUCCGUG
This 492-nucleotide ribosomal RNA is filed under the name uncultured bacterium. Its description in RNAcentral is "partial 16S ribosomal RNA". It matches the Rfam family "Bacterial small subunit ribosomal RNA", at positions 28 to 507 of the family's 1533-position model. The record is from RNAcentral.